UACGUAGGUGGCAAGCGUUAUCCGGAUUUACUGGGUGUAAAGGGCGUGUAGGCGGGAAUGCAAGUCAGAUGUGAAAACUAUGGGCUCAACUCAUAGCCUGCAUUUGAAACUGUAUUUCUUGAGUGAUGGAGAGGCAGGCGGAAUUCCGUGUGUAGCGGUGAAAUGCGUAGAUAUACGGAGGAACACCAGUGGCGAAGGCGGCCUGCUGGACGACAACUGACGCUGAGGCGCGAAAGCGUGGGGAGCAAACA
RNAcentral lists this ribosomal RNA (251 nucleotides) under uncultured bacterium. RNAcentral's name for it is "partial 16S ribosomal RNA". It matches the Rfam family "Bacterial small subunit ribosomal RNA", at positions 524 to 774 of the family's 1533-position model. The record is from RNAcentral.